CAUUAUCGAGUAUUGACUGGGUUGUAGCUGGCCUUCCGAGGCAUGUGCACGCCCUGAUCAUCCACUCUACACCUGUGCACUUACUGUGGGUUUCAGAUCGCGAAACGGGUCCCUUUAUGGGGGCUCGGGAAGCGUCUGUGCCUGCGUUUACCACAAACACUAUGCAGUAUUAGAAUGUGUAUUGCGAUGUAACGCAUCUAUAUACAACUUUCAGCAACGGAUCUCUUGGCUCUCGCAUCGAUGAAGAACGCAGCGAAAUGCGAUAAGUAAUGUGAAUUGCAGAAUUCAGUGAAUCAUCGAAUCUUUGAACGCACCUUGCGCUCCUUGGUAUUCCGAGGAGCAUGCCUGUUUGAGUGUCAUGAAAUCUUCAACUUGCUAGCUUUUCCGGCUUGUAAGCUUGGACUUGGAGGCUUGUCGGCGGCCUUUGGGCGUGGUCGGCUCCUCUCAAAUGCAUUAGCCUGGUUCCUUGCGGAUCGGCUGUCGGUGUGAUAAUUGUCUACGCCGCGACCGUGAAGCGUUUGGCGGGCUUAUAACCGUCUCGUUAAGAGACAACCUAUGACAUCUG
Molecule: ribosomal RNA, 565 nt
Filed under: Amauroderma praetervisum
Lineage: Eukaryota; Fungi; Basidiomycota; Agaricomycetes; Polyporales; Polyporaceae
Description: eukaryotic LSU rRNA
Rfam family: 5.8S ribosomal RNA (bases 206-359)
Source: RNAcentral